Molecule: ribosomal RNA, 447 nt
Filed under: uncultured bacterium
Lineage: Bacteria
Description: partial 16S ribosomal RNA
Rfam family: Bacterial small subunit ribosomal RNA
Source: RNAcentral
AGCGAACGCUGGCGGCAGGCCUAACACAUGCAAGUCGAGCGCCCAGCAAUGGGAGCGGCAGACGGGUGAGUAACGCGUGGGGAUGUGCCCAAUGGUGCGGAAUAACCCAGGGAAACUUGGAUUAAUACCGCAUGUGCCCUUCGGGGGAAAGAUUUAUCGCCAUUGGAUCAACCCACGUCUGAUUAGCUAGUUGGUGAGGUAAAGGCUCACCAAGGCGACGAUCAGUAGCUGGUCUGAGAGGAUGAUCAGCCACACUGGGACUGAGACACGGCCCAGACUCCUACGGGAGGCAGCAGUGGGGAAUAUUGGACAAUGGGCGCAAGCCUGAUCCAGCCACGCCGCGUGAGUGAUGAAGGCCUUAGGGUUGUAAAGCUCUUUCGCCGGUGAAGAUAAUGACGGUAACCGGAGAAGAAGCCCCGGUUAACUUCGUGCCAGCCGCCGCAGUAA